AGGAUUAACGCUGGCGGCGUGCAUGAAACAUGCAAGUCGAGCGCGGUGUGAUGCGGGGUAACCCAAUUCACAUCUAGCGGCGAACGGGUGAGUAACACGUGAGCAACCUACCUUUGAGUUGGGGAUAGCCCUGGGAAACCAGGAUUAAUACCCGAUGUGGUCGCAACAGGACAUCCUGAUGUGAGUAAAGGCGUAAGCCGCUCAAUGACGGGCUCGCGGCCUAUUAGCUUGUUGGUGGGGUAACGGCCUACCAAGGCGAUGAUGGGUAGCUGGUCUGAGAGGACGAUCAGCCACACUGGGACUGAGACACGGCCCAGACUCCUACGGGAGGCAGCAGUUAGGAAUUUUCCGCAAUGGGCGAAAGCCUGACGGAGCAACGCCGCGUGAGUGAUGAAGACCUUCGGGUUGUAAAGCUCGUGUCGGAGGGGAAGAACACAAUGACGGUACCCUACCAACGAAACGACCCCGGCUAACUACGUGCCAGCA
Molecule: ribosomal RNA, 486 nt
Filed under: uncultured bacterium
Lineage: Bacteria
Description: SSU rRNA
Rfam family: Bacterial small subunit ribosomal RNA
Source: RNAcentral